This 65-nucleotide transfer RNA is filed under the name Liposcelis nr. bostrychophila AZ. RNAcentral describes it as "tRNA-Tyr". The record is from RNAcentral. Lineage: Eukaryota; Metazoa; Arthropoda; Insecta; Psocodea; Liposcelididae.
AGUUUAAUAAUCUAAGAUAAGAUAAAAAAUUGUAAAUUUUUUUAUGAAUAAAAAUUCUUAAACGA